Molecule: long non-coding RNA, 1036 nt
Filed under: Homo sapiens (human)
Lineage: Eukaryota; Metazoa; Chordata; Mammalia; Primates; Hominidae
Description: HSALNT0383962
Source: RNAcentral
AGUGCUCAGCAGGGCGAGGACAGGACAGAACGGGCCCCAUCACAGACUGCGCUUAGAAGGAACUCAGUAAAACAAAGACCAUUUUCUUCUGGAGGCAACUCAAGGAGAUUUCCAGCAUCACUGGUACUCAAUAUUGAAGGAAUGAAAAUACGUGAGGAAUAAAAGAAUGAAGAAAGUGACCUCUACCGCAAGGACACAGGCCCUGAAGGCUGAGACUGUGAAGGGGGCAGGCAAAGAUCCACGCCCAGACAGGCCACCCCUGCUCUCCUGGGAAAGGGGCCGAGAGCCAGAGAGUUCGGGGCAGAGAGAGCCUGAGUGCGAGGCCCAGGCCAGGGCCUUUACCAGCAAAGACCGGCCCCUCUGCCUGCGCCCUGAGGUCAUGGAGAAAGGCAGGGGUGGGGGUAUGGUCAUCCUUCCCAAGGUCCUGGAGUCAGGUCUGCUUACCAAGCCACCGUGUGUCCCAUGACAUUCUGGAGGCCUCCGGGCCCAAUGGAGGUCACAUCCACCGUCCUCCCGGCCCUGUCCUGUCCACUGGGUGGCUGCCCUCUUCCCACCCUCCAGUAUUGACUGCGUUGUGUGGGAUGGGGAAGACCUCCGGUCCCCUCCACCAAACAAAGCACAAGCCAAAGUGCCCACCAGCGUGAGUGCCGUGAGCACCGUGAACCUUCUCUAUGCCGAGGGGCACACAGCCUUGAGCGUCCACGGGGGAUGGGCCUGUGGGUGCUUUCCCUCUGCCCCAGGGAAGCGGUGGUAAUCACACCUGUGAGAUGCCGACAAUCAUGCGUGCGACCAUCCGUCUCUAGGUGCCCGGGGCCUGGAAGCCCAGGAGCUCCCACAUCCAGGGAGGAGGCACGGAUCAGAUCACAAGCGCCCAUCACUGCCCUCCGUGCAUACUGGGAAGGCUGAUGGCAGAGGCUAAGGAAGGGGAGAGGCCAGGAAAAGUGCGUGAAGAUACAUACCAAACACACAACGCUCAACUCUCGCAGAGCUUUCUCUAAAUGCAUCUCACUUACCGAAAGAGUACCUGAAAAACAAA